UACGUAGGUGGCAAGCGUUGUCCGGAUUUACUGGGCGUAAAGAGCGCGCAGGCGGUCGUUCAAGUCGCGUGUGAAAGCCCCCGGCUCAACUGGGGAGGGUCACGCGAUACUGAUCGACUCGAAGGCAGGAGAGGGUAGUGGAAUUCCCGGUGUAGUGGUGAAAUGCGUAGAUAUCGGGAGGAACACCAGUGGCGAAGGCGGCGACCUGGGCCAAUACUGACGCUGAGGUGCGAAAGCGUGGGGAGCAAACAGG
RNAcentral lists this ribosomal RNA (253 nucleotides) under uncultured bacterium. RNAcentral describes it as "partial 16S ribosomal RNA". It matches the Rfam family "Bacterial small subunit ribosomal RNA", at positions 524 to 776 of the family's 1533-position model. The record is from RNAcentral.